GAUGAACGCUGGCGGCGUGCCUAAUGCAUGCGAGUCGAGCGAACAGACGAGGAGCUUGCUCCUCUGACGUUAGCGGCGGACGGGUGAGUAACACGUGGAUAACCUACCUAUAAGACUGGGAUAACUUCGGGAAACCGGAGCUAAUACCGGAUAAUAUAUUGAACCGCAUGGUUCAAUAGUGAAAGACGGUUUUGCUGUCACUUAUAGAUGGAUCCGCGCCGCAUUAGCUAGUUGGUAAGGUAACGGCUUACCAAGGCAACGAUGCGUAGCCGACCUGAGAGGGUGAUCGGCCACACUGGAACUGAGACACGGACCAGACUCCUACGGGAGGCAGCAGUAGGGAAUCUUCCGCAAUGGGCGAAAGCCUGACGGAGCAACGCCGCGUGAGUGAUGAAGGUCUUCGGAUCGUAAAACUCUGUUAUUAGGGAAGAACAAAUGUGUAAGUAACUAUGCACGUCUUGACGGUACCUAAUCAGAAAGCCACGGCUAACUACGUG
RNAcentral lists this ribosomal RNA (497 nucleotides) under uncultured bacterium. RNAcentral's name for it is "partial 16S ribosomal RNA". It matches the Rfam family "Bacterial small subunit ribosomal RNA", at positions 28 to 507 of the family's 1533-position model. The record is from RNAcentral.